Molecule: non-coding RNA, 176 nt
Filed under: Brevibacillus massiliensis
Lineage: Bacteria; Bacillati; Bacillota; Bacilli; Caryophanales; Paenibacillaceae
Description: Lysine riboswitch
Rfam family: Lysine riboswitch aptamer
About the family: Riboswitches are metabolite binding domains within certain messenger RNAs that serve as precision sensors for their corresponding targets. Allosteric rearrangement of mRNA structure is mediated by ligand binding, and this results in modulation of gene expression.
Source: RNAcentral
UAAAUAGAGGUGCGCAGCGGAUCAGUACUCCUUUCCGUUUGGAAAGAUGGGGGUUCCGGAAGGGAAAAAAGGCCAAUGCGCCGAAGCUUUUGUUUGCCCCAUUCAAACUGAGGCUGGGAUGUCCGUGAAUAAUGGACGUCCUGUCAUGAAAGAGGAUCUUUCGUGGAGCGCUAUUG